AGUGUAUGGUUGUAUGGAGGAGCUUUGAGUCCAGAUUCUUUUCAUUCCAGCUAGGUGCCUACGGGAAGUUCAUCUAACCUGUGAAAGAUGUGGCCUCUUAACAAACACAUGUCUGGGUUGCUACUUGGUCCCAGUGUACAACAUGAGGACAGACAAUGUUUGAUAGACCUUGGCCCCCACUUGAACCCUGCAGUCUGCUCUUCCUUGGAAAGAAUCCCAUUUCAGACAGACACUUCUGGCAGAAGGUGCUGACAGACGUGGGAUGAGGCCGGAACUCGUGUCCUGUGACAAUCACCAGCUUUCUGAGGCCUACUCAUGUGUCUGUGCAGAAUGGCCACUUCUGGAUUCUGUUUUCAAAAAACAACAGUGACC
RNAcentral lists this long non-coding RNA (372 nucleotides) under Mus spicilegus (steppe mouse). Its description in RNAcentral is "lncRNA (ENSMSIG00000017272.1)". Lineage: Eukaryota; Metazoa; Chordata; Mammalia; Rodentia; Muridae. The record is from RNAcentral.